Molecule: long non-coding RNA, 4469 nt
Organism: Carcharodon carcharias (great white shark)
Lineage: Eukaryota; Metazoa; Chordata; Chondrichthyes; Lamniformes; Lamnidae
Exons: 2
Source: RefSeq, a predicted model, not a curated record
GAGAGAAGCUCCUCUACAGCCGGCGAGGAUGUGGAUACGCGACUGGCGCAAUGGAGCCGGCGGCUGGUCGGGAAGGUUUUUAAACACCCGGUGAAGGCCUCAAACCCCGAACAGAGACCUGCAGGUCCUGGGUUUGAGCUCCAGGGCUUUUAACCGAGACUAGACCCAGAUUAACGGCCGCCAUCUUGUUUCAGAGGGGAGCAGGGCGCAUGGGCGCAGGGCUUGAUGACGUAACAGUGGGCGGGGCUUCAGCGUGCCUGUUCCCAACCGGGUCCAAGUGCCCGCUUCGUGUAAAAUCUGGGCAACAGGUUUUCCAGCAGAAACAGCAUUACCUGGAAAAACUCAGCAGGUCUGGCAGCAUCGGCGGAGAAGAAAAGAGUUGACGUUUCGAGUCCUCAUGACCCUUCAACAGAGCUUUACCCACUUUCAGGCUGCAGGGGAGAAGAGGGAGAUGAUUUGCAGACGGGAAACUCGAACCAAACAUCACAUCAAGAUCUGACUGCGUCACUCAAUUCAUCAAGACCUAAGUAUCAUUGGACAUUGACUGUGAAAGGAGGUAUAUUUGUCUGUUCUGUCUGUGGGUAAAGAUUUGAAACAUUAGUGUGACUGGAAAAGAACCAAGACACACACACACACACAGUGAGUGUGUUCCAGUGAACUGACUGGAGAAGGAGCUUUAACCUGUUACACCACCUGAAACAAAGAUUUCACCAUGCACAGCAGAGAGAAACUGUGCAAGCGUAGUGUGUGUGGACAAGAAUUCAACUGAUUAUCCAACCUGGAGAGGCACAGGAACAUCGACACCAUGGAGAAGCCGUGGAACUGCGGGGAUUGUGGGAAGAGAUUCAGAUCCCCCUCUGAGCUGGAAACUCAUGGACGCAUUCACACUGGGGAGAGACCGUUUAUCUGUUGCGAUUGUGGGAAGGGAUUCACUCGACUAACUAACCUCACUUCACACCAACUUGUUCAUUCAGACAUGAGACCUUUUAAAUGUUGUGACUGUGAGAAGAGCUUUAAAAGCAAAAAGAAUCUGCUAAUACACCAGCGAGUUCACACUGGGGAGAGGCCAUUCACCUGCUUUGACUGUGGGAUGGGAUUCGCUCAGUUAUCCAACCUGCUGCGACACCAGAGAGUUCACACUGGAGAGAGGCUGUUCACCUGCUCCAAGUGUGGGAAGGGAUUCACUCAGUUAAGUACCCUCACUUCACAUCAACUUGUUCACUCUGACAUGAGACAUUUUAAAUGUUCUGACUGUGAAAAUUGCUUUAAAAGCAAAAAGAUUCUAUUGAUACACCAGAGAAUUCACACUGGGGAGAAACCAUUCACCUGCUCCAAGUGUGGGAAGGGAUUCACUCAACUAACCCAGCUCACUUCACAUCAGCGUGUUCACUCUGAAAAGAGACCUUUUAGAUGUUCUGACUGUGUGAAAAGCUAUAAAAGCAAAGUGGAUCUGCUGACACACCAGCGAGUUCACACUGGAGAAAGGCCAUUCACGUGUUCCAUGCGUGGGAUGGGACUUAUUCACCCAUCCCUCUGGCUGAAACACCAGCGAGUUCACACUGGAGAGAGGCCGUUCACCUGCUCCGUGUGUGGGAAGGGAUUCAAUUAUUAUCCACCCUGCAGACACACCGAUGUAUUCACAAGGGACUGCAGGGGUUGGAUUCUGCUGUUAAUCACAUCCAGGACUGAACCAUGUUCAUUCUGACAGUUGGGGUUUGUUUUUGCUGAUGUUCACAAUCCCAGUAACUGGGCUGGAGUUUAAUAUUCUGGAUAAAGGUUAAAUUAAUCAGCUUAGUGUCAAAUACACAAUGCUUGAGUCCAUGAUUUCUCUAAGAAAAGAGGAGACUGAUUGAUGUUCUGUUAAUGACUUUUCUGGCCUAAGUCCUUCUCUCCUUUGUUAAUGGAAGAUGUGUAUUUAUAUAGCACCUUUCACAGCUUCAGGAUGUUCCAAAGUGCUUUACAGCCAGUGAAGUCUUUUUGAAGUGUAGUCCCUGUGUAAUGUGGGAAAUGCAUGUCGGACCAGCCGUGAGCUUCGUCCAAACCAUGGAGCCCCUCACCUUGCAGGAAAUCCACCCCAGCCACAAGGACAAGGUUUUGAUGGCACCGUCCCGAGUGUCUCAAUGGGAUCCAUGAGGUCGCUGGACAUGACACGUCACCCAACAGUGAUUGAUCCCAAACAGCAGACCCCCAACAAGGGACUGGUGAGUUUCCCCUCUCACAUACCACAAUUGGACUGGCGAAGAGUUCGUGUCUCAUGGUUUUGAUCCCUGGAAAAGCAAAAAUGAGCCAUGCGAGGCCAUGAAGACCCCAGCACCAACAACAAACUGGUCUGUGUGGGUCAAGACUCCAGAUACAGGGUGACAGAGAAACACAAACAACAAACUGGUCCUGUGUGGGUCAAGACUCCGGAUACAGAGUGACAGAGAAACGCAAACAACAAACUGGUCCUGUGUGGAUCAAGAUUCUGGGUACAGGGUAACAGAGAAACACAAACAACAAACUGGUCCUGUGUGGGUCAAGACUCCAGGUUCAGGGUGACAGAGAAAUGCAAAUGCCAAUACGGAUCAUCCAGCUCACCAACCACAACAACUGGGUUGAGACCUACCCAUGAAAGAAGGGAAUUGAACAAAAGCACAAAACACCCCAGUACAAGACAGAAAAACAGAUUCUGGAAACUUAACCACACAAAACCAAUCAUUACUCUGUAAUCACUGGGUGGAUGAAAUAUUUAAACCAAAAAGUGUCCAAGCCAUAGAAAAGGAAUGCCUUAAUCUGAAUCAAACAAUUAUUCACCUUGCCAAAUCAUUUAAACCCACAAUAAUACCAGAGAAGUUCGGAAACAGAGGCUACAUUUUUUAGCAGUGUGAAAUAACAUAAUGCACAAAUCCAGACAAACUGAGAGAAAUUCCAUAGAAAAAUCACACAAGACGACUUUUCUGAUUACUCAAUUUCAGAUAGGACAAGUUCAUCGCACAGAUCAGAUUGGAUUCCUCCAGAGAAUGAAAUGAACACUGAAAUAUCUGACUUCAUCGAAGAAACUCAGGAAUCGAGAGAAUCCCUGAUGUAAAGGAUAAACAAAACCUCAUGAGGAGAGAAAGACAAGCGAUCAGAGAAUUAAAAGUCAAUACAGAUAUUGACAUAAAACCAGCAGACAAAGGCAGUAACAUAGAUAUGGACAGACAACAAAACCUUACUGAAGCAAAUAGACAACUCAACAAGACAGAUUACUGCACCAAGUGAACUAAGUCCAUGUAUCAAUAGAGACAAAAAGAAGUUAAGGACAGACUAACAGAACUUAAAGACUCCAACUACAUGAAUCGAAAACAGAUGGAAUACCUAAAGGGACAGCAACCACAGCCAAGGACAUUUUACAAAAUACAUAAACACCUGAUGGUAACAUGAGAAAUCCUCCAAAUUUCAACCAUUACAGGCUGUGGCAGUGAAUCAUACAGAAUGGCAGAACACACUGAUUCAUUUUUGAACACCCCCACCCCAGCUCAAUAUUACCCCAAUUACAUUAAGGAUACUUACCGCUCAGAAAAAUCCCUCACCGCACCCUCCCGACAGCACACUCUUCACAAUGGAAAUUGAGAGUUUGGAAAGCAACAUAGAAACGGAGGGAUUCCAGUCAUCCAAAACAUAUUGAAUAAAGUUCCACAAUCUCAUAGACCAGGCAAAGCCAUAAUCUGAUUAUUAUAUAUGGGACUAACAAAAAACAACUUUGAAUGCAGAUGGAGAAUACAAUCUUCAAAUUAAAGAUAUAGCCACUGGCAAAAAAUUUGCACACCCCUGCCCCUCCCCCCAUGUUAAUAUAUAAAUGUGUGGGGGAAUGGGAAGAGAGUGUUUUCAAAGAAUGUUCCAAGCUACCAUUAUGUUAUUACAGAUUUCUAGAUGAUACUGGAAGAGUUUGGUCCCACACGGUGACAGAACUGGAGGAAUCUGCACAAACAAUCACUAUCUGACUAUCAAAAUCAAAGUUACAACAAUGUUAAGAAAUGUGACUUACCUGUCUCUCUGUGACGGUUUCUGGCUGGAGACUGAGGACGAGGAGGCCCAGCAUUCCCUGGGAGUUCCAGCACGUGUCCAGAGUGGGACAGGCAGCGCGGGCUCAGGAGAAGAGAUUGAACCAUUGGGAGGUGUGCAGUUGUUGAGGCAAUCCGAGUCAGAGCAGCUUUGAGGGAUGUCAGAGGCUAGAUUCUUGAAAGUGGAGACCCUUGUGAGGGAGAUGGAGUUUUCACGAGAUUGUGUGACUCACAGUGAACACUGACAUCUGGGUGGGUUGCUGAGAAAUCUGUGGGAUCUGUCUUGACUGUCUGUUAUUUAAUGUGCUGUGCAUUAUGUUUGACCACAGCUGCCUGUUACUUCAUAUUUUUCUCAUGUAAUUCUGAAUGUUAGAGAUUAAGAUAGAUAUUGCCAAUUGUUUUAUUUUUCUGACUUUCUAUAAUAAAGUUUAACUUGUUUGUUUAAAA